CUUUGAUUGCAUACUGGCAUGUAUAAAGAACGGUGGUGCCAGCAAGAGUAGGGAGUUGAUCAUCCACCUGUACUCAGCUCUGGUGAGGCCACACCUUCAGUACUGUGUUCAGUUUUGGGCCCUUCACUACAAGAAAGACAUUGAGGCCCUGGAGUGUAUCCAGAGAAGAGAAACUGAAGAUAACAACAUGCAUAAUGUGUUGUCUUUCAAACAAGGCAGAUGAGGAAUUUGGCUUGUGGCUGCUGACAUUCCAUCUGAGCUAGGAUGUAUGUUCUUGUCUUUCUGGUGACAUGUGGGAAAUGUAUAAAAGGAAAGCCUGUCUUGGGUGUGCCCCUCUUUCACUGAUGGAUUCCCAGAGGCAGUAAGUCUCUGAGCCACUUCCUUUUAAGCCAAGUAUCUCAUUUGCUCUGCAUGCCAAGGUUAAGUUCUUGAAGAAGAUUCAUCCAAACAGGUCUCCUGGAU
This 462-nucleotide long non-coding RNA is filed under the name Gallus gallus (chicken). RNAcentral describes it as "lncRNA (ENSGALG00010006189.1)". Lineage: Eukaryota; Metazoa; Chordata; Aves; Galliformes; Phasianidae. The record is from RNAcentral.